AAGUCGUAACAAGGUCUCCGUUGGUGAACCAGCGGAGGGAUCAUUACUGGGUGGCUUCGGCCUAAACCCCCUAACCAUUGUGAACGAUACCAGUUGCUUAGCUGGUGGCGGUGAAAACUGCAGUACCGGCGGCACAAAACUCUUCAAUGUCAUCUCUGAGUUACUUUUAAAUAAGUCAAAACUUUCAACAACGGAUCUCUUGGUUCUG
This 208-nucleotide unclassified non-coding RNA is filed under the name Arnium sp. Its description in RNAcentral is "partial internal transcribed spacer region". The stretch from base 1 to 46 matches the Rfam family "Eukaryotic small subunit ribosomal RNA", at positions 1786 to 1831 of the family's 1831-position model. Lineage: Eukaryota; Fungi; Ascomycota; Sordariomycetes; Sordariales; Lasiosphaeriaceae. The record is from RNAcentral.